UGGGGAAUUUUGGACAAUGGGCGAAAGCCUGAUCCAGCAAUGCCGCGUGUGUGAAGAAGGCCUUCGGGUUGUAAAGCACUUUUGUCCGGAAAGAAAUCCUUGGCUCUAAUACAGUCGGGGGAUGACGGUACCGGAAGAAUAAUCACCGGCUAACUACGUGCCAGCAGCCGCGGUAAUACGUAGGGUGCAAGCGUUAAUCGGAAUUACUGGGCGUAAAGCGUGCGCAGGCGGUUUGCUAAGACCGAUGUGAAAUCCCCGGGCUCAACCUGGGAACUGCAUUGGUGACUGGCAGGCUAGAGUAUGGCAGAGGGGGGUAGAAUUCCACGUGUAGCAGUGAAAUGCGUAGAGAUGUGGAGGAAUACCGAUGGCGAAGGCAGCCCCCUGGGCCAAUACUGACGCUCAUGCACGAAAGCGUGGGGAGCAAACAGGAUUAGAUACCCUGGUAGUCCACGCCCUAAAACGAUGUCAACUAGUUGUUGGGGAUUCAUUUCCUUAGUAACGUAGCUAACGCGUGAAGUUGACCGCCUGGGGAGUACGGUCGCAAGAUUAAAACUCAAAGGAAUUGACGGGGUCAUAGCUGUUUCCU
Molecule: ribosomal RNA, 586 nt
Filed under: uncultured bacterium
Lineage: Bacteria
Description: partial 16S ribosomal RNA
Rfam family: Bacterial small subunit ribosomal RNA
Source: RNAcentral